GUCAAUAGCCUAACGGCUGAACCAGCAACUUGGAGGAAUGUAUAGCGAAAGCUAAUUGCAUUAAACGUAACGCAAUAUCAACAAUGUUGAAUAAAAUUCUGGGUAAUAUUUUGAUAAUGACAAUUUUUAUCCAUAUGUCUUGACCAAAUUACGUGCCAGCAGUCGCGGUAACACGUUGAAGACUAGUGUUAUUCAUCUUUAAUAGGUUUAAAGGGUACUUAGACGGCAAAUAAAGCCUUAAUUGGUACUAAUUUGCUAGAGUUACUUACGAGGGGGCCUAAAAGUACUAUUGGUUUAGAGAUAAAAUUCUUCGAGACCACUUAUCAAUGGAUAAAAAAUGGCACAGGUAAAGGCGAAAGCGUCUCCCUAUGUGAUAACUGACGUUGAAGUACGAAGGCUUUGAAUAGCGAAUAGGAUUAGAUACCCUAGUAGUCGAAGCAGAGAAUGAUGAGUGUCAUAAACUAGAUUGAAUUUAGUUUAUAAAUGAAAGUGUAAGCACUCCACCUUAUGAGUAAAGUGGCAACGCCGGAAUUGAAAUCAUUAGACCGUUUCUGAAACCAGUAGUGAAGUAUGUUGUUUAAUUUGAUAAUCCACAAAAAACCUUACCACAACUUGAAUAUUUAUACAUUGCUUAAAUCUAUAACUAAUGUAUAUUUACAAGCGUUGCACGGCUGUCUUGCAGUUAAUG
RNAcentral lists this ribosomal RNA (688 nucleotides) under Bacidia fraxinea. RNAcentral's name for it is "SSU rRNA". It matches the Rfam family "Bacterial small subunit ribosomal RNA", at positions 367 to 1064 of the family's 1533-position model. The record is from RNAcentral. Lineage: Eukaryota; Fungi; Ascomycota; Lecanoromycetes; Lecanorales; Ramalinaceae.